This 1332-nucleotide long non-coding RNA is filed under the name Mus musculus (house mouse). Its description in RNAcentral is "long non-coding RNA chr4:91708637-91709969". The record is from RNAcentral. Lineage: Eukaryota; Metazoa; Chordata; Mammalia; Rodentia; Muridae.
GCCUGAGCAUUAAUGAGUCAAGUUGUAGACUUUUUUUUAGCAGAUUCUGUAGGUAUUAUUAUGGAGUUAAAGAGAAAAACAAUGAUGAUUGAAUAGAGCUGGGGAAGUCCCAAAGUAACAAAUGAUAGGAGGAGGGUCACAGUUCUAAAGUAAAUUGAUUUAAAGAAUACAUAAAAAAACAAGCAAGCUAAACUUGUUCAAGAUGUUGCCAAUAACACAAACUAAGAGGCUGGGGAAGGUAACCUCAGUGCUAUUGUUCUAGCCCAUUUUAUUGUCAAGGAGGCUUUUGAGAUCAGCAAAGGGCCUAAUCCAGUGGAAAUUAGGAGAGGUGUGAAGUUGGCUGCUGAUCUUUAAAAACAGCCUAAACUUGUCAAAACCCCAGAAGUAAUUGCUCAGUUGCUAUGAUUUCUGCAAAUGGAGAUAGACAUUAGAAACAUUAAUUCUGAUGCAAUAAAAAUGUUUGAAAGAAAGGACAUCAUCACAGUAGAGGAUAGAGAAUCCCUGAGUGAUGAAUUACAAGUUAUCAAAGGCAUAACGCUUAAUACAGAAUAUAUUUCCAUAUAUUUUAUUAACCUUAAAAAGGUCAGAAUGUGGAUUUCAAGAUGUCUAUGUUCUAUUGAAUGAAAAAAAUGUCUAUUGUCCAGUCAAUUGAAGCUACUCUUGAAGUUGCUAAACUGCUCAUGAUGUAAAUGGAAACGCUCUAAGCUCACUGGUUUUAAACAGACUUAAAAAGGCCAUUUUACCAAGGAAGACAUCAUGCCUUUGAAAGGAAAAGGAAAAGGUGACAAAGCUCAAAUUGAAAGAUGUACUCAAGAAGUCACUUAGCAGUUAGUCAUUACAACUAGCAACUAUAAAAACAAAAAGUUAAAUGAAUGACUGGCUAAACUUUCAGAUGUAGAUAUGGUGAAGAAUGGAAAGGCAAGUGAUGUUGAAUUGAAUGAGAAAAAAGAGUCAGGGAUGCUCUAAUGUUACUAAACAGCUGAUGAAGAAGACUUGUCCUUGGAGGGGUUUGUGCUCUGCUUCAGUGCAUCCCAGCAUUUACUUUGUUAAACCCAGCUAAUGAAAAUCAGAAAAUAGGUAUAGAAAUUACUAAAAGGCUACUCAAAAUUUCUGCAAUGACUGCUGCUAUGAGCAUUAGGUGUUGAAAUAUCUUUGAUAGUUGUAUAAAUUAUGCCAAGUUCCUCAGAACUUGGUUAUUGUGUAAUACUCAGAAACUUGGUGAACAUGGUAGACAAGAGAAUCAUUGGUACAAGGAAGGCUAUAAGAACUGCUUUACUGGACACUUCCAGGGGGGCCUCCUUGUUAACUACAGCAGAAGGUAUAGUGACAGAA